GGUCUAGGUUAUAUAUCAUAUGUACUUUAGAAUAUAAAAAAAAAUAUCAAUAAACCGAAAAGAUUGUAAGUGUUUUCGUCAGGUUGUUAAAUAACGUUUCAUAAGGCGUGAAAUUGUUGUUUUGGGCAUUUUUUUAAGGCAAGGGUAUCAAAUCAUUUGAUACUUAAGUUUCGACCAUUUAUCUUUUUUUUUUCUUUCUCGUAACAUUUUUUGGAAACAAAACUGAUUUAUAACCCUCCCAGCAAACUAGAUUUUAAUGGAAAGAAACUAAAUAUUGGUUCACUACCUUUCCAGACCAUAGAUAACCGAAGUGAAGAAUAAAAAAAUAAAAAAAAGAACUGCUCCAAACCAAUUCCCACACAAGCA
RNAcentral lists this long non-coding RNA (366 nucleotides) under Mytilus galloprovincialis (Mediterranean mussel). The record is from RNAcentral. Lineage: Eukaryota; Metazoa; Mollusca; Bivalvia; Mytilida; Mytilidae.